RNAcentral lists this ribosomal RNA (449 nucleotides) under uncultured bacterium. Its description in RNAcentral is "partial 16S ribosomal RNA". It matches the Rfam family "Bacterial small subunit ribosomal RNA", at positions 29 to 523 of the family's 1533-position model. The record is from RNAcentral.
AACGAACGCUGGCGGCAGGCUUAACACAUGCAAGUCGAACGAGAUCUUCGGAUCCAGUGGCAGACGGGUGAGGAACACGUGGGAACAUCCCUUUCAGUUCGGAAUAACUCAGGGAAACUUGAGCUAAUACCGGAUACGUCCUUCGGGAGAAAGAUUUAUCGCUGAAAGAUUGGCCCGCGUCUGAUUAGCGAGUUGGUGAGGUAACGGCUCACCAAGGCUACGAUCAGUAGCUGAUCUGAGAGGAUGAUCAGCCACAUUGGGACUGAGACACGGCCCAAACUCCUACGGGAGGCAGCAGUGGGGAAUAUUGGACAAUGGGCGCAAGCCUGAUCCAGCCAUGUCGCGUGAGUGAUGAAGGCCUUCGGGUUGUAAAGCUCUUUUGUCCGGGAAGAUAAUGACUGUACCGGAAGAAUAAGCCCCGGCAAACUUCGUGCCAGCAGCCGCCGUAC